GAGGGGCAGCAUGUCCCGUAGCAAUACGGGAUGAUGGCGACCGGCAAACGGGUGCGGAACACGUACAGAACCUUCCUUCGAGCGGGGAAUAGCCCGGAGAAAUCCGGAUUAAUACCCCAUAGUAUGGUGAAGAGGCAUCUCUUUACUAUUAAAGAUUUAUCACUUGAAGAUGGCUGUGCGGCUGAUUAGGUAGUUGGCGGGGUAACGGCCCACCAAGCCUGCGAUCAGUAACUGGUGUGAGAGCACGACCAGUCACACGGGCACUGAGACACGGGCCCGACUCCUACGGGAGGCAGCAGUAAGGAAUAUUGGUCAAUGGACGAAAGUCUGAACCAGCCAUGCCGCGUGGAGGAUGAAGGUCCUCUGGAUUGUAAACUUCUUUUAUAUGGGACGAAAAAAGGCCUUUUCAGGUCGUCUGACGGUACCAUAUGAAUAAGCACCGGCUAACUCCGUGCCAGCAGCCGCGGUAAUACGGAGGGUGCAAGCGUUAUCCGGAUUCACUGGGUUUAAAGGGUGCGUAGGUGGGUUGAUAAGUCAGUGGUGAAAUCCCCGAGCUUAACUUGGGAACUGCCAUUGAUACUAUUGAUCUUGAAUACCGUGGAGGUCAGCGGAAUAUGUCAUGUAGCGGUGAAAUGCUUAGAUAUGACAUAGAACACCAAUUGCGAAGGCAGCUGGCUACGCGAAUAUUGACACUGAUGCACGAAAGCGUGGGGAUCAAACAGGAUUAGAUACCCUGGUAGUCCACGCCCUAAACUAUGGAUACUCGACAUCAGCGAUACACUGUUGGUGUCUGAGCGAAAGCAUUAAGUA
Molecule: ribosomal RNA, 810 nt
Filed under: uncultured Sphingobacteriia bacterium
Lineage: Bacteria; Pseudomonadati; Bacteroidota; Sphingobacteriia
Description: bacterial SSU rRNA
Rfam family: Bacterial small subunit ribosomal RNA
Source: RNAcentral